ACCCUCUCAGGAUGGCACCUGGAGGGUUUCUAGUCCUCUACCAGUCUCAGAUACGAGAGGGAAAGUCAAGCAGAGGCCUACCCAUUCCCUUCCUAGCUUGGGCAGUGGCUAACGAGUAGAAGGUAAUCUGCUACAAGU
Small nucleolar RNA from Tachyglossus aculeatus (Australian echidna), 138 nucleotides. NCBI's taxonomy places the organism in Eukaryota, Metazoa, Chordata, Mammalia, Monotremata, Tachyglossidae. The record is from RefSeq and is a predicted model, not a curated record.